Molecule: ribosomal RNA, 253 nt
Filed under: uncultured bacterium
Lineage: Bacteria
Description: partial 16S ribosomal RNA
Rfam family: Bacterial small subunit ribosomal RNA
Source: RNAcentral
UACGUAGGUGGCAAGCGUUGCUCGGAAUCACUGGGCGUAAAGCGCACGUAGGCGGAUCGUUAAGUCAGGGGUGAAAUCCUGGAGCUCAACUCCAGAACUGCCUUUGAUACUGGCGACCUUGAGUUCGGGAGAGGUGAGUGGAACUGCGAGUGUAGAGGUGAAAUUCGUAGAUAUUCGCAAGAACACCAGUGGCGAAGGCGGCUCACUGGCCCGAUACUGACGCUGAGGCACGAAAGCGUGGGGAGCAAACAGG